RNAcentral lists this ribosomal RNA (440 nucleotides) under uncultured bacterium. Its description in RNAcentral is "partial 16S ribosomal RNA". It matches the Rfam family "Bacterial small subunit ribosomal RNA", at positions 338 to 795 of the family's 1533-position model. The record is from RNAcentral.
CCUACGGGGGGCUGCAGUGGGGAAUAUUGCACAAUGGGGGAAACCCUGAUGCAGCGACGCCGCGUGAAUGAAGAAGUAUCUCGGUAUGUAAAGCUCUAUCAGCAGGGAAGAAAAUGACGGUACCUGACUAAGAAGCCCCGGCUAACUACGUGCCAGCAGCCGCGGUAAUACGUAGGGGGCAAGCGUUAUCCGGAUUUACUGGGUGUAAAGGGAGCGUAGGCGGGUUUGCAAGUCAGGAGUGAAAGCCCGUGGCUUAACCCUGGUACUGCUCUUGAAACUGUGGAGCUUGAGUGCAGGAGGGGUAGGCGGAAUUCGUAGUGUAGCGGUGAAAUGCGUAGAUAUUAGGAGGAACACCGGUGGCGAAGGCGGCCUACUGGACUGUAACUGACGUUGAGGCUCGAAAGCGUGGGGAGCAAACAGGAUUAGAUACCCCGGUAGUC